UAAGCAUAUCAAUAAGCGGAGGAAAAGAAACCAACAGGGAUUGCCCCAGUAACGGCGAGUGAAGCGGCAACAGCUCAAAUUUGAAAUCUGGCCUUCGGGUCCGAGUUGUAAUUUGGAGAGGAUGCUUUUGGCGCGGCGCCGUCCGAGUUCCUUGGAACAGGACGCCAUAGAGGGUGAGAGCCCCGUACGGGCGGCCGCCUAGCCUUUGUAAAGCUCCUUCGACGAGUCGAGUAGUUUGGGAAUGCUGCUCAAAAUGGGAGGUAAAUUUCUUCUAAAGCUAAAUACCGGCCAGAGACCGAUAGCGCACAAGUAGAGUGAUCGAAAGAUGAAAAGCACUUUGAAAAGAGGGUUAAAAAGUACGUGAAAUUGUUGAAAGGGAAGCGCCUGUGACCAGACUUGCGACCCGUGGAUCAUCCGGUGUUCUUCACCGGUGCACUCCGCGGGCUGCAGGCCAGCAUCGGUUUUCCUAGGGGGUUAAAGGUCGCAGGAACGUAGCUCUUUCGGGAGUGUUAUAGCCUGUGGCGUCAUGCCUCUGGGGAGACCGAGGACCGCGCUUCGGCAAGGAUGCUGGCGUAAUGGUCACCGGCGACCCGUCUUGAAACACGGACCAAGGAGUCAAGCAUUGGGGCGAGUGUCUGGGUGCCAAACCCGCACGCGAAAUGAAAGUAAACGCAGGUGAGAGCUUCGGCGCAUCACCGACCGAUCCUGAUGUCUUCGGAUGGAUUUGAGUAAGAGCCUUACCGCUUGGACCCGAAAGAUGGUGAACUAUGCCUGUAUAGGGUGAAGCCAGAGGAAACUCUGGUGGAGGCUCGCAGCGGUUCUGACGUGCAAAUCGAUCGUCAAAUAUGGGCAUGGGGGCGAAAGACUAAUCGAACCAUCUAGUAGCUGGUUACCGCCGAAGUUCCCCUCAGGAAAA
Molecule: ribosomal RNA, 916 nt
Filed under: Ophiostoma quercus
Lineage: Eukaryota; Fungi; Ascomycota; Sordariomycetes; Ophiostomatales; Ophiostomataceae
Description: partial large subunit ribosomal RNA
Rfam family: Eukaryotic large subunit ribosomal RNA
Source: RNAcentral